RNAcentral lists this unclassified non-coding RNA (391 nucleotides) under uncultured fungus. Its description in RNAcentral is "partial contains 5.8S ribosomal RNA and internal transcribed spacer 2". The stretch from base 1 to 133 matches the Rfam family "5.8S ribosomal RNA", at positions 22 to 154 of the family's 154-position model. Lineage: Eukaryota; Fungi. The record is from RNAcentral.
UGGCUCUCGCAUCGAUGAAGAACGCAGCGAAAUGCGAUAAGUAAUGUGAAUUGCAGAAUUCAGUGAAUCAUCGAAUCUUUGAACGCACCUUGCGCCCCUUGGUACUCCGAGGGGCAUGCCUGUUUGAGUGUCAUGUUAAUCUCAAACCUCUUGUCUUUAUUGACUUGAUUGGUUUGGAUUUGGAGGGUGUGCUGGCUCGGACUUCAUUGUUAGUUUUGUCGGCUCCUCUGAAAUGCAUUAGCUGGACUUUGGUUCGCAUUAACGGUGUAAUAGUAAAAGUGUUCGCCGUGGUGCUUGCCUAAAGAGUCUGCUUCUAGUCGUCUUCGGACAAGGUCUCUUGUUGUGACCUUCUUGACCUUUUGACCUCAAAUCAGGUAGGACUACCCGCUGA